This 253-nucleotide ribosomal RNA is filed under the name uncultured bacterium. RNAcentral's name for it is "partial 16S ribosomal RNA". It matches the Rfam family "Bacterial small subunit ribosomal RNA", at positions 524 to 776 of the family's 1533-position model. The record is from RNAcentral.
UACGGAGGGGGCUAGCGUUGUUCGGAAUUACUGGGCGUAAAGCGUGCGCAGGCGGUUUUGUAAGCCGGAUGUGAAAUCCCCGGGCUUAACCUGGGAAUGGCAUUCGGGACUGCAAGGCUGGAGUGCGGCAGAGGAGACUGGAAUUCCUGGUGUAGCAGUGAAAUGCGCAGAUAUCAGGAGGAACACCGGUGGCGAAGGCGGGUCUCUGGGACGGUACUGACGCUGAGACGCGAAAGCGUGGGGAGCGAACAGG